This 250-nucleotide unclassified non-coding RNA is filed under the name uncultured Russula. Its description in RNAcentral is "sequence contains ITS2". The record is from RNAcentral. Lineage: Eukaryota; Fungi; Basidiomycota; Agaricomycetes; Russulales; Russulaceae.
AAUCCUCAAAACCCUUUUUCUCUUUGAAAGGGUUUUGGACUUGGAGGAUCGAUGCUUGCCCUCACUUUGAAGGCGAGCUCCUCUCAAAUAAAUUAGUGGGGUUUGCUUUGCUGAUCCUUGACGGUGAUAAGACAUCUCUACGUUUUGGAUUUGGCGACUGUCCCUUGCUUCUAACCGUCCUAUGGACAAUGAUGGGUGCACCGGUCCACCGCCUUACAUUGGUGGGGGGCUGGACCCACAAUAAAAAGGA